UACGAAGGGUGCAAGCGUUAAUCGGAAUUACUGGGCGUAAAGCGCGCGUAGGUGGUUUGUUAAGUUGGAUGUGAAAGCCCCGGGCUCAACCUGGGAACUGCAUCCAAAACUGGCAAGCUAGAGUACGGUAGAGGGUGGUGGAAUUUCCUGUGUAGCGGUGAAAUGCGUAGAUAUAGGAAGGAACACCAGUGGCGAAGGCGACCACCUGGACUGAUACUGACACUGAGGUGCGAAAGCGUGGGGAGCAAACAGG
Molecule: ribosomal RNA, 253 nt
Filed under: uncultured bacterium
Lineage: Bacteria
Description: partial 16S ribosomal RNA
Rfam family: Bacterial small subunit ribosomal RNA
Source: RNAcentral